GCGAAUGAUUGUUCAAUAAAAGCGCUUACCCGAAAAGCUUAUCCACAACGCGAUUUAUCUUUACUUCUGCGUCAAUCUUGGAGCUAUAGAGCAUCAACAACGUUGCGUCGUCAUUUCCAAUCCAAACGAGACACCGCCUCCACGAAGAAGAGCCACGAAGGUAAUCGCGGCGGCUGAGGCAUCGUUUUCUCCUUCUUCGAAUUGAAUACCAAACCAAAAUUGCACGAUGCAAAUAGGUUGAGGGAUGAAGAACACAUUGUACGCGUCAACGUAUUGCCCGGCGUUGCCUUUACGACUUAAACAAGAGACUGAAAGAAAUAUCUCGCCGGAUCGGAGCUCCGGUGCGGUUCACUUUGUACCGUGGAGACAGGUUCUAGAAAUCCGGUGUUCACUUCUCUCCCAGAAUAAUACACAUGAGAAGAAAACGAGGAGGUGAUCAAUGCCGCGACUCGUAAAUUGCGAUCAAAUUGGCUUGAAGAACAAAGCGGACUCGCGGUGCAAUGGAGAUUCGAAGAGGAAAAAUGGAAUCGAAACUGCGAACUCUCAACUCAGAUUCAUUAUUAGAUGAUGACUGAAGAGAGGUUGAAGAAGGUGAAGUAUGAAGCAGGGAGAUUAAAGCUUUUUGCAUAUGUGAUUUUGCAAAUCCUCUGAAUGAAGAGUGGUGAAUUUCAGGGUGGAAGAAUGGUGAUGAAUCAAAAAUCUGGGGAAGAAGAGACAGAGUCAGAAAGAUUGAUGAUUUGUGAAGGAUUCACAGUUAUUGAUGAUGGUUGCAAUUGAAUGAUGGGUGAGGCUUUGGACAGUGGAUAUUUUGAGUUUGGUUAUGGAGGUGUUUGAAAUUAUUGAAGAAGAAGGUUAGGGUGAAGAAGAUUCGAAAGAAGAAGAAGAGAAGGUGAUGAAAUGUUAAUGGCUUGCAAUUAGAAUGGUUGAAUAUAUGUUAUUUGCAUGUGAGAGGAUAAUAUGGAACCAUGAAUGAGAAUGAAGAGGUAAUGGGCGUAUGAUGUAAUGGUUGGAUAUGUA
Long non-coding RNA from Lathyrus oleraceus (garden pea), 1017 nucleotides. RefSeq lists it as uncharacterized. The transcript is spliced from 2 exons. Lineage: Eukaryota; Viridiplantae; Streptophyta; Magnoliopsida; Fabales; Fabaceae. The record is from RefSeq and is a predicted model, not a curated record.